RNAcentral lists this ribosomal RNA (253 nucleotides) under uncultured bacterium. RNAcentral's name for it is "partial 16S ribosomal RNA". It matches the Rfam family "Bacterial small subunit ribosomal RNA", at positions 524 to 776 of the family's 1533-position model. The record is from RNAcentral.
UACGGAGGGGGCUAGCGUUGUUCGGAAUUACUGGGCGUAAAGCGCGCGUAGGCGGACCUGCAAGUCGGGGGUGAAAUCCUGGAGCUCAACUCCAGAACUGCCUUUGAUACUGGAGAGCUUGAGUCCGGGAGAGGUGAGUGGAACUCCGAGUGUAGAGGUGAAAUUCGUAGAUAUUCGGAAGAACACCAGUGGCGAAGGCGGCUCACUGGCCCGGUACUGACGCUGAUGUGCGAAAGCGUGGGGAGCAAACAGG